RNAcentral lists this long non-coding RNA (513 nucleotides) under Pan troglodytes (chimpanzee). RNAcentral describes it as "long non-coding RNA NONPTRT002349". The record is from RNAcentral. Lineage: Eukaryota; Metazoa; Chordata; Mammalia; Primates; Hominidae.
UGAAUUUCCAAAAGUAUUACAUAUAAUAAAAGAGGUGCUUCUUGACUGGGAAGGAGUGGAAGAGGUCCUAGGUGCAGAAGGGUAUGGAAGAUAAGGUCAAAGGAUGUGCUGGUGGGAAUGGGAGACAACGGAGAAGGUGAGACAAGCUGGAGGAAAUGUCAGGAGCUGCUGAGAGAAGCUCAGCCUGACCAGAGAUGAGAAUUGCCAUCUUGAAUCGUCAGGAGGUGAAGGAAAGCCCAGGUGAAUGCCACCCAAUCAAAAAGAAAAAACAAAUGCAGAUGGUAAGGUAGAGAAGGCUCUGAAGCCCAGGUAAUGAGAGCCACGUUACCCUGGACAGAAGCAUCCAACACCACACAUCUCCAAGGAUGUUGGAGAUCCAGCAUCUGGAUCCAGCUAACUUCUGCAUCCUCCUUCUGUACUCACAAGAGUUAACAUGGACGUCCAUGCAUCUGCUGGACAACAUCCCCUAGAACGAGUGUCUUUAUAUGUUUUCACACACAUAAUGAUGUUAUA